RNAcentral lists this long non-coding RNA (867 nucleotides) under Salmo salar (Atlantic salmon). Its description in RNAcentral is "lncRNA (ENSSSAG00000082618.1)". Lineage: Eukaryota; Metazoa; Chordata; Actinopteri; Salmoniformes; Salmonidae. The record is from RNAcentral.
AUCAGAACAAUGUAAGAUAAAAUUAACAGAAUCCCAAGACUGUACAGUAUACGGUAUGUUUACUUGAGGCAGACAGAAUCAUUAUGGACCUUUUUUUCUCUCUUAAGACUGACAGUCCACAAAUUAAAAAGCUCAAUUCUACAUGAUGGUAAUGGCAGAAGAAUGCUUCAGAAUGCAUGCAGCCAUAGUUAGAUCAGGUUGAAUGCUUCCCCUUCUAGUCACACACACACACACACACAAUGAGCAUGGCUACAACACAGGAAGCUGACUAUAUAAUGGUGCCGGAGGGGAUGGCUGCCGUUUUAUGGCUGAAAUUUAUGGGCUCAAACUCAUUUUGUACAUAAUGUUGCUACUAACGUCUUUAACGAAAAUAGCUUCUGGACAUCAGAACAGCACAACUCACCUCGAACUGGACAAAGAUUUCUUCUUUAAUGAGUCCAACGCAAAGGAUAUACUGCUUCCCAGAGACCAGGCACAAAUCCCUGUCAUUCGUGUGAAGAAAAGAUGGAAAUACAGUGGGCGGAGGUCUGGGCGCAUUGUGAGAAUUCGUCGCCAAUGAUGGACAAGGACCCCUCCAUUUCUCAUAUGCUAUUACUGCACUCUGAGGCUUGCGAAAAGCUGAUUUCAGGAGCAUGGAUAGCAGGAUACAGUGUGAUUGGAAACAGCUGGUGGUGGAAAAAAAGGGAUCAGAGAAAGAGACACAUUUCAAAAACUGAGGCUUGUUCAACGUUUUACAUCAAAACACACCGACAUCAAAUAGACUGAAUCAAGCAAAAUCCAGGACGACCACAUCACAGAGACAGACAGGGAGGAACAGUCUGCAGGUACGCCAAUACAGAUGUUUUAAUGAGCAGAGUUGCUGUCAUU